CCCUUAGAUGUUCUGGGCCGCACGCGCGCUACACUGACGAAUGCAACGAGCUUAUAACCUUGGCCGAAAGGUCUGGGUAAUCUCCAAAUUUCGUCGUGAUGGGGAUAGAUUAUUGCAAUUAUUAAUCUUCAACGAGGAAUGCCUAGUAAGCGCAAGUCAUCAGCUUGCAUUGAUUACGUCCCUGCCCUUUGUACACACCGCCCGUCGCUCCUACCGAUUGAAUGGUCCGGUGAAGCGUUCGGACCGUGGCCUUUGGACGGUUCGCCGUCUGUUGGCUGCGGGAAGUUCGUUAAACCUUAUCAUUUAGAGGAAGGAGAAGUCGUAACA
Molecule: ribosomal RNA, 327 nt
Filed under: uncultured eukaryote
Lineage: Eukaryota
Description: partial 18S ribosomal RNA
Rfam family: Eukaryotic small subunit ribosomal RNA
Source: RNAcentral